CAUGAGCAACUGCUUGAUGGGCAGUUCACAGGACAGACGCAGGUAGCUGAGCGCCUGUGCGUCCUCCUCCAGGGCGUCUUGGGAGUUGCGGCUCGGAGGCGACGGGUUGUUGAUGUAGCUCUUCAACUUGGACGUUGCGAGGAAAUCGCCUAACUCGCCGAGCCAGUGGGAGUAGUUCGACCCAUCCCAGAGGAUGACGGUCUUACAUCCCUUCCCCAUGAUGGUUGGCUAGCGAGCGUGACUGAUGAAGACGCGUUCCCCGCCGCUUUUCUGGCAACUAGUUGGUGUAAUGAUGCAUCCUUGGUCCGGCGUACGACGGCUCCUGAUGCGAUCUAUGCCCUCUCAACCUCCCAGGCAUGUCCCCACCUGCCUCACAGCCACCGACGCAUCUCACGGCGGGGGUCUAAUUGCGUGCGCGUAUGGAUGCUCCUAUUCCUGCCGCCUUUCUAGCAACUAGUUAAUGUUAUGAUGCAUCGUUGGUCCGGCGUACGACGGCGCCUGGUGCGAUUUAUGCGUCCGGAAGCCCUUUCAGCCUCCAAGGCAUGUCCCCACCUGCCUCACAGCCACUGACGCAUCUCACGGCGGGGGUCUAAUUGCGUGCGCGUAUGGAUGCUCCUAUUCCUGCCGCCUUUCUUACAACUAGUUAAUGUUAUGAUGCAUCGUUGGUCCGGCGUACGACGGCGCCUGGUGCGAUUUAUGCGUCCGGAAGCCCUUUCAGCCUCCCAGGCAUGUCCCACCUGCCUCACAGCCACCGACGCAUCUCACGGCGGGGGUCUAAUUGCGUGCGCGUAUGGAUGCUCCUUUCCCCGCCGCCUUUCUAGCAAGUAGUUAAUGUUAUGAUGCAUCGUUGGUCCGGCGUACGACGGCGCCUGGUGCGAUUUAUGCGUCCGGAAGCCCUUUCAGCCUCCCAGGCAAGUCCCACCUGCCUCACAGCCACCGACGCAUCUCACGGCGGGGUUCUAAUUGCGUGCGCGUAUGGAUGCUCCUUUCCCC
RNAcentral lists this long non-coding RNA (993 nucleotides) under Volvox carteri. RNAcentral describes it as "long non-coding RNA (VCAR_LNC000103)". The record is from RNAcentral. Lineage: Eukaryota; Viridiplantae; Chlorophyta; Chlorophyceae; Chlamydomonadales; Volvocaceae.